GACGAACGCUGGCGGCGUGCUUAACACAUGCAAGUCGAACGGAAAGGCCCUGCUUGCAGGGUACUCGAGUGGCGAACGGGUGAGUAACACGUGGGUGAUCUGCCCUGCACUUCGGGAUACGCCUGGGAAACUGGGUCUAAUACCGGAUAGGAGCCAUUUUUAGUGUGAUGGUUGGAAAGUUUUUUCGGUGUAGGAUGAGCUCGCGGCCUAUCAGCUUGUUGGUGGGGUAAUGGCCUACCAAGGCGGCGACGGGUAGCCGGCCUGAGAGGGUGGACGGCCACAUUGGGACUGAGAUACGGCCCAGACUCCUACGGGAGGCAGAAGUGGGGAAUAUUGCACAAUGGGCGCAAGCCUGAUGCAGCGACGCCGCGUGGGGGAGGACGGCCUUCGGGUUGUAAACUCCGUUCGCUAGGGACGAAGCUUUUUGUGACGGUACCUAGAGAAGAAGCACCGGCUAACUACGUG
This 465-nucleotide ribosomal RNA is filed under the name uncultured bacterium. RNAcentral describes it as "partial 16S ribosomal RNA". It matches the Rfam family "Bacterial small subunit ribosomal RNA", at positions 28 to 507 of the family's 1533-position model. The record is from RNAcentral.